This 253-nucleotide ribosomal RNA is filed under the name uncultured bacterium. Its description in RNAcentral is "partial 16S ribosomal RNA". It matches the Rfam family "Bacterial small subunit ribosomal RNA", at positions 524 to 776 of the family's 1533-position model. The record is from RNAcentral.
UACGGAGGGGGCUAGCGUUGUUCGGAUUUACUGGGCGUAAAGAGCGCGCAGGCGUUCGUUCAAGUCGCGUGUGAAAGCCCCCGGCUCAACUGGGGAGGGUCACGCGAUACUGAUCGACUCGAAGGCAGGAGAGGGUAGUGGAAUUCCCGGUGUAGUGGUGAAAUGCGUAGAUAUCGGGAGGAACACCCGUGGCGAAGGCGGCUCUCUGGGACGGUACUGACGCUGAGACGCGAAAGCGUGGGGAGCGAACAGG